AGUGAAGCUUCUCUCUGAUGGACUGAAGAGUCAACACUGUAAACUGGAGACAUUGAGAUUGGCCAUGUGUAUUCUCACUGUUGAGUGCUGUGAGAGUUUGUCUUCCGCUCUACAAUCCUUAAACUGUGUGCUGAGAGAGCUGGACCUGAGUAACAAUGACCUGCAGGAUUCAGGAGUGAAGAAGCUCUCUGAUGGACUGAAAAGUCCAAACGGCAAACUAGAAACACUGAGAUUUGUCACGUGUAACCUCACUACUGAUUCUUGUGAGAGUUUGUCUUCAGUUCUACAAUCCUCAAAUUGUGUGCUGAUAGAGCUGGACCUGAGUAUCAAUGACCUGCAGGAUUCAGGAGUGAAGCUUCUAUCUGAUGGA
Non-coding RNA from Danio rerio (zebrafish), 370 nucleotides. The record is from RefSeq and is a predicted model, not a curated record. NCBI's taxonomy places the organism in Eukaryota, Metazoa, Chordata, Actinopteri, Cypriniformes, Danionidae.